Oreochromis niloticus (Nile tilapia) is the source of this 272-nucleotide long non-coding RNA. RefSeq lists it as uncharacterized. The record is from RefSeq and is a predicted model, not a curated record. The transcript is spliced from 3 exons. NCBI's taxonomy places the organism in Eukaryota, Metazoa, Chordata, Actinopteri, Cichliformes, Cichlidae.
UAUUGUUUUCUUUGUGUAUCCUGCAAAAGCUCAAGUACUGGUGAUAAAGGGGAAAGGUAGAAGGGCGUGUCACCAACCACCCCCGAGUUUAGUACCAGAGAAAGCUUUGCAGUUCUGUGAUAAUGGGGAAUCAGCCCACAAAACUCACUGUUGACGAGCAGUGGCUAGAAAAGAAAUGUCCAGGCGCCGGACAAAUCAGUGCUUGUAGAUGAAGAAUUCCUAAGAAAACAAAACGUCCCAUUAUACAUUCACCCAUAUCAGGAGGAACAUAA